UACAAACCUGACUCAGUUACACCAGCUCUGUCAGGAGGAAUGGGUCAAAAUUCACCCUACUUAUUUUUGGAAGCUUGUGGAAGGCUACCUGAAACAUUUAACCCAAGUUAAACAAUUUAAAGGCAAUGCUAAAAAAUACUAAUUGAGUGUAUGUAAACUUCUGACCUGGGAAUGUGAUGAAAGAAAUAAAAUCUGAAAUAAAUUCUCUCUACUAUUAUUCUGACAUUUCACAUUCCUAAAAUAAAGUGGUGAUCCUAACCGAUCUAAGAAAGGGAAUUUUUAAUGGGAUUAAAUUUCAGGAAUUAGUGAAAAACUGAGUUUAAAUGUAUUUUGCUAAGGUGUAUGUAAACUUCCGACUUCAACUGUAUGUUUUAAAUGACGAUCUGUUGUUGUCCUCAGGGAGAGCUGAAGAAGUCCUCUCCGGGAUCGCUUGUCAACGCAGAACACAGAGGACUAUCUCCCAAAGUAAUCACAGGCUUUAUGAGUCUAAUGUGUAAAUACCGGUCAGGUUAUUAAUGUUGUUGUCCUCGGGGAGAGAAGACCUCAGGCUUUAUGAGUCUAAUGUGUAAUUACUGGUCAGGUUAUUAAUGUUGUUGUCCUCGGGGAGAGAAGACCUCAGGCUUUAUGAGUCUAAUGUGCAAUUACUGGUCAGGUUAUUAAUGUUGUUUUCCUCGGGGAGAGAAGACCUCAGGCUUUAUGAGUCUAAUGUGCAAUUACUGGUCAGGUUAUUAAUGUGGGAAUGUUGUCCUCGGGGAGAGAAGACCUCAGGCUUUAUGAGUCUGUGUAGUUACUGGUCAGGUUAUUAAUGUUGUUCUCCUCAGGGGAGAAAAGACCUCAGGCUUUGAGUCUAAUGUGUAAUUACUGGUCAGGUUAUUAAUGUUGUUGUCCUCGAGGAGAGAAGACCACAGGCUUUAUGAGUCUAAUGUGUAGUUACUGGUCAGGUUAUUAAUGUUGUUGUCCUCGAGGAGAGAAGACCACAGGCUUUAUGAGUCUAAUGUAUAAUUACUGGUCAGGUUAUUAAUGUUGUUGUCCUCAGGCUUUAUGAGUCUAAUGUGUAAUUACUGGUCAGGUUAUUAAUGUUGUUGUCCACAGGCUUUGAGUCUAAUGUGUAAUUACUGGUCAGGUUAUUAAUGUUGUUGUCCUCAGGCUUUAUGAGUCUAAUGUGUAAUUACUGGUCAAGUUAUUAAUGUUGUUGUCCUCAGGCUUUAUGAGUCUAAUGUGUAAUUACUGGUCAGGUUAUUAAUGUUGUCCACAGGCUUUAUGAGUCUAAUGUGUAAUUACUGGUCAGGUUAUUAAUGUUGUUGUCUACAGGCUUUAUGAGUCUAAUGUGUAAUUACU
RNAcentral lists this long non-coding RNA (1338 nucleotides) under Salmo salar (Atlantic salmon). RNAcentral's name for it is "lncRNA (ENSSSAG00000090596.1)". Lineage: Eukaryota; Metazoa; Chordata; Actinopteri; Salmoniformes; Salmonidae. The record is from RNAcentral.